Ipomoea nil (Japanese morning glory) is the source of this 72-nucleotide transfer RNA. It matches the Rfam family "tRNA". Rfam says of the family: Transfer RNA (tRNA) molecules are approximately 80 nucleotides in length. Their secondary structure includes four short double-helical elements and three loops (D, anti-codon, and T loops). Lineage: Eukaryota; Viridiplantae; Streptophyta; Magnoliopsida; Solanales; Convolvulaceae. The record is from Rfam.
GUGUUUGUAGUCCAACGGUUAGGAUAAUUGCCUUCCAAGCUACAGACUCGGGUUCGACUCUUGGCAAAUGCA